This 275-nucleotide microRNA precursor is filed under the name Oryza rufipogon (brownbeard rice). RNAcentral describes it as "MIR821 microRNA precursor family". It matches the Rfam family "MIR821 microRNA precursor family". Lineage: Eukaryota; Viridiplantae; Streptophyta; Magnoliopsida; Poales; Poaceae. The record is from Rfam by way of RNAcentral.
GACUUCAACUGAAAAAGUCAUCAACAACAAAGUUGAAUAACUCAUCAAGAUCUAAAACUUUUAUUUUUGUUAUUUCUUCAUCCGACGAAAUGUUAGUAAUAUUAUUAACAAAUUUUACAUAUAUGUGUUAUAGUUUAUAAAACCAGAUAAGAGAUAUGUCAAUUUUGUGAACAGUGUUACUAUCACUUUGUCGUAUGAAGAAAUGACCACAAUAAAAGUUUUAGAUCAUGAUAAGUUAUUCAACUUUGUUGUUGAUGACUUUUUCAGUUGAAGUC